This 82-nucleotide transfer RNA is filed under the name Echinostoma caproni. It matches the Rfam family "tRNA". Rfam says of the family: Transfer RNA (tRNA) molecules are approximately 80 nucleotides in length. Their secondary structure includes four short double-helical elements and three loops (D, anti-codon, and T loops). Further hydrogen bonds mediate the characteristic L-shaped molecular structure. tRNAs have two regions of fundamental functional importance: the anti-codon, which is responsible for specific mRNA codon recognition, and the 3' end, to which the tRNAs corresponding amino acid is attached (by aminoacyl-tRNA synthetases). tRNAs cope with the degeneracy of the genetic code in two manners: having more than one tRNA (with a specific anti-codon) for a particular amino acid; and 'wobble' base-pairing, i.e. permitting non-standard base-pairing at the 3rd anti-codon position. The record is from Rfam by way of RNAcentral. Lineage: Eukaryota; Metazoa; Platyhelminthes; Trematoda; Plagiorchiida; Echinostomatidae.
GGCCUCGUAGCUCCGCUGGUAGAGCAUGCGCGUACAAAGCGUAGGCGGUGUCCAUGCGUGGGUUCGAAUCCCACCGAGGCUA